GAAGGUAUAGCUCAGUGGUGGAGUGCUUGCUUAGCAUGCACAAGGUCCAGGGUUCAAUCCCAGUAUCUCCA
RNAcentral lists this transfer RNA (71 nucleotides) under Camelus bactrianus (Bactrian camel). It matches the Rfam family "tRNA". Rfam says of the family: Transfer RNA (tRNA) molecules are approximately 80 nucleotides in length. Their secondary structure includes four short double-helical elements and three loops (D, anti-codon, and T loops). Lineage: Eukaryota; Metazoa; Chordata; Mammalia; Artiodactyla; Camelidae. RNAcentral also lists the same sequence under 2 other names. The record is from Rfam by way of RNAcentral.